This 484-nucleotide ribosomal RNA is filed under the name uncultured bacterium. RNAcentral's name for it is "partial 16S ribosomal RNA". It matches the Rfam family "Bacterial small subunit ribosomal RNA", at positions 30 to 507 of the family's 1533-position model. The record is from RNAcentral.
AUUGAACGCUGGCGGCAUGCCUUACACAUGCAAGUCGAACGGCAGCACGGGUGCUUGCACCUGGUGGCGAGUGGCGAACGGGUGAGUAAUACAUCGGAACAUGUCCUGUAGUGGGGGAUAGCCCGGCGAAAGCCGGAUUAAUACCGCAUACGAUCUACGGAUGAAAGCGGGGGACCUUCGGGCCUCGCUAUAGGGUUGGCCGAUGGCUGAUUAGCUAGUUGGUGGGGUAAAGGCCUACCAAGGCGACGAUCAGUAGCUGGUCUGAGAGGACGACCAGCCACACUGGGACUGAGACACGGCCCAGACUCCUACGGGAGGCAGCAGUGGGGAAUUUUGGACAAUGGGCGAAAGCCUGAUCCAGCAAUGCCGCGUGUGUGAAGAAGGCCUUCGGGUUGUAAAGCACUUUUGUCCGGAAAGAAAUCCUUGGCCCUAAUACGGUCGGGGGAUGACGGUACCGGAAGAAUAAGCACCGGCUAACUACGUG